Molecule: ribosomal RNA, 555 nt
Filed under: Camellia oleifera (tea-oil Camellia)
Lineage: Eukaryota; Viridiplantae; Streptophyta; Magnoliopsida; Ericales; Theaceae
Description: eukaryotic LSU rRNA
Rfam family: 5.8S ribosomal RNA (bases 213-366)
Source: RNAcentral
UAACAAGGUCUCCGUUGGUGAACCAGCGGAGGGAUCAUUACUGAGUUUACGCUCUACAACCCUUUGUGAACAUACCUAUAACUGUUGCUUCGGCGGGUAGGGUCUCCGUGACCCUCCCGGCCUCCCGCCCCCGGGCGGGUCGGCGCCCGCCGGAGGAUAACCAAACUCUGAUUUAACGACGUUUCUUCUGAGUGGUACAAGCAAAUAAUCAAAACUUUUAACAACGGAUCUCUUGGUUCUGGCAUCGAUGAAGAACGCAGCGAAAUGCGAUAAGUAAUGUGAAUUGCAGAAUUCAGUGAAUCAUCGAAUCUUUGAACGCACAUUGCGCCCGCCAGCAUUCGGGCGGGCAUGCCUGUUCGAGCGUCAUUUCAACCCUCAAGCUCUGCUUGGUGUUGGGGCCCUACAGCUGAUGUAGGCCCUCAAAGGUAGUGGCGGACCCUCCCGGAGCCUCCUUUGCGUAGUAACUUUACGUCUCGCACUGGGAUCCGGAGGGACUCUUGCCGUAAAACCCCCAAUUUUCCAAAGGUUGACCUCGGAUCAGGUAGGAAUACCCGC